AUACUUACCUGGCAGUGGAGACACCAUGAUCAUGAAGGUGGUUUUCCCACGGUGAAGCUUAUCCAUUGUACUCCAGAUGUGCUGACCCCUUCGAUUUCCCCAAAUGUGGAAAACUUGACUGCAUAAUUUGUGGUAGUGGGGGACUGCAUUCGUGUGCUCCCCUG
Molecule: small nuclear RNA, 164 nt
Organism: Eptesicus fuscus (big brown bat)
Lineage: Eukaryota; Metazoa; Chordata; Mammalia; Chiroptera; Vespertilionidae
Product: U1 spliceosomal RNA
Exons: 1
Source: RefSeq, a predicted model, not a curated record